CCAGCAAACACCUGGCCCUCUGCGGGCGUCUUCAGCCGGGUGCCUGUACCAGCACAGGGCUCUCUGGACCCUGGAGACCUAAAGGCAACAGCAGACACAGGAGCACAUGGGACAGAGCGUGGCCUUCGCCUCAGGAAGGGCUGUGAGGAAGCCACUCCAGACCAGAGGGGCUGGCCUGGCUCUCUCAGGCCUACCAUCGCCGUGGGCUCAGAAGUGGCAAGAGCCAGGCCCAGACUGGGUAUCCAGGCCCCAACUUCAUUAGCAGGUGAGGACAUGGCCAGGACCCCUUGAGGAGACUCAGGGCCCUCAGAGCACAGGAAAGCAAGGGCUGAAGAAGGCAGGCAUCUCCUCAGAAGCUUCCAUCCAUGCUGGGCCAUCUGCAUCCAGGCCUUGUGGGUCACCGGAAGGGAGCAGAGGGCUCUGACUGCCGUACUGCAGUACACAGCUGUAAAUCUUUAAAUGCCUGUGAUCAGAUGGGGACAGCAGCAGGCAGGCAAGAAGUUUUCAGAAGGCAGCACCUGGCCCUGAGUGCCGUCCAUUGCUGCCACGUGGAGCUGCAGGGCCAAUUACCCCGUUCUUCAAGAGGAGAUGGACGGGGGAGCUCUGAAGGUGACUUUCCACUGGGCACCUGCAGCACAUCUGCCCAGAGCUGAGGACAGAGCCCCAGUGAGCUGCCAAGACUGGGCAGGGAGAAAGCAAUGAGGAAACCAGGUUAAGUGACUUCACAGAAAUGACCUAUCCAGCUGCCAGCCGCAAGAGCAGCAGAGGGGCAGGCGAGGGUAAGGCACGGGGUCCCGGGGCCUCUUAACUGUCUAUCCCUGGAUGAACCAAGAGUGACCCAGACAGGUAGCGUGACUUGUGCUCCUAAAAGGCUGGAGAAAGGAGUCUCGCCACCAAGUGAGGUUCCAUCAGCUCUGCCAUCUUCUCCGGGGAGCAAAUUGUCAAAGAUUCAGGUUAAUUCCAGUGGUGCCAGCCCCAGAUCUCUUUGCUGGUUUCAGGUGGGGAUUAGGUGGAUAAACAGCUCCCACCUGAAGAGGAAGGCAAUGGUGUCUGCAUUCUGCAGAUGAAAGAUUUCCAGAUAGGCCCCCUCCUUGUGACUGCCAUGUUCCAUUAGGUAAAGCAAGUUUAAACCAUUCCGAGGCCUCAGAUUGUG
Fukomys damarensis (Damara mole-rat) is the source of this 1153-nucleotide long non-coding RNA. RefSeq lists it as uncharacterized. Lineage: Eukaryota; Metazoa; Chordata; Mammalia; Rodentia; Bathyergidae. The record is from RefSeq and is a predicted model, not a curated record. The transcript is spliced from 4 exons.